RNAcentral lists this ribosomal RNA (344 nucleotides) under uncultured bacterium. RNAcentral describes it as "bacterial SSU rRNA". It matches the Rfam family "Bacterial small subunit ribosomal RNA", at positions 920 to 1288 of the family's 1533-position model. The record is from RNAcentral.
GACCCCGCACAAGCGGCGGAGCAUGCGGCUUAAUUCGAUGAUACCCGUAGAACCUUACCUGGACUUGACAUAUAGGGUCAAGCUAUAGAGAUAUAGUGUGCAUUAGCGCCCUAUACAGGUGGUGCAUGGCUGUCGUCAGCUCGUGUCGUGAGAUGUUGGUUAAGUCCCGCAACGAGCGCAACCCCUGUCCUAUGUUGCCAGCAUUUAGUUGGGGACUCAUAGGAGACUGCCGGUGAUAAACCGGAGGAAGGUGUGGAUGACGUCAAGUCCUCAUGGCCCUUACGGGUUGGGCUACACACGUGCUACAAUGGUAGUGACAAUGGGUUAAUCCCAAAAAGCUAUCU